ACAAGCGGCGGAGCAUGUGGAUUAAUUCGAUGCAACGCGAAGAACCUUACCUGGGUUUGACAUAUACCGGAAAGCUGCAGAGAUGUGGCCCCCCUUGUGGUCGGUAUACAGGUGGUGCAUGGCUGUCGUCAGCUCGUGUCGUGAGGUGUUGGGUUAAGUCCCGCAACGAGCGCAACCCCUAUCUUAUGUUGCCAGCACGUUAUGGUGGGGACUCGUAAGAGACUGCCGGGGUCAACUCGGAGGAAGGUGGGGACGACGUCAAGUCAUCAUGCCCCUUAUGUCCAGGGCUUCACACAUGCUACAAUGGCCAGUACAGAGGGCUGCGAGACCGUGAGGUGGAGCGAAUCCCUUAAAGCUGGUCUCAGUUCGGAUCGGGGUCUGCAACUCGACCCCGUGAAGUCGGAGUCGCUAGUAAUCGCAGAUCAGUAACGCUGCGGUGAAUACGUUCCCGGGCCUU
RNAcentral lists this ribosomal RNA (457 nucleotides) under uncultured Rhodococcus sp. RNAcentral's name for it is "bacterial SSU rRNA". It matches the Rfam family "Bacterial small subunit ribosomal RNA", at positions 925 to 1382 of the family's 1533-position model. Lineage: Bacteria; Bacillati; Actinomycetota; Actinomycetes; Mycobacteriales; Nocardiaceae. The record is from RNAcentral.